UACGUAGGGUGCAAGCGUUAUCCGGAAUUAUUGGGCGUAAAGAGCUCGUAGGCGGUUUGUCGCGUCUGCUGUGAAAACUGGAGGCUCAACCUCCAGCCUGCAGUGGGUACGGGCAGACUAGAGGUAGGUAGGGGAGAAUGGAAUUCCCGGUGUAGCGGUGAAAUGCGCAGAUAUCGGGAGGAACACCGGUGGCGAAGGCGACUACCUGGACAGAAACUGACGCUGAGGCACGAAAUCUAGGGGAGCAAACAGG
RNAcentral lists this ribosomal RNA (253 nucleotides) under uncultured bacterium. RNAcentral describes it as "partial 16S ribosomal RNA". It matches the Rfam family "Bacterial small subunit ribosomal RNA", at positions 524 to 776 of the family's 1533-position model. The record is from RNAcentral.